GGAACUUGAUUGGCUCAGCCAUCAGGUAUUUUAAAAAAGAAAUGAGUGAAGAGGAAGAUUCUGCGUCUAGAAUUCAAACCAGAUGAUGUAAGAGAAAUUCUAAGCUAUCGGUGGGGAAAUGGAGGAAUAAAACACGAGGAAACAGAUGGAAAUCCCGAGCCCGGGGCCGCAGCCCCAGGCGGCCUGGCAGCAAAGCCUUGUGCUGCGCUCCACUUCAGCCAACUUUCCCUCAAACUCUCUGCUUUAACCACAAGCUGGCCAACUCAGGUAUGACUUAGCUAUUGCGGAACAGUAAGGAAGAAAAUGCGUUUCUGCUUCAGGCCUGGCUAACAGCUUCCUUCCAGAUCUCCAAAUCAGUUUGUCCCAUGGGUAGAUUGUUUUGUUAUGUUGCACCAAAAUGUUUGUAAAAGCUUUUCUGUUGGAAGGAAAGCCUGUCUGAGAGGAUAUGGAUGUUCAACUAUAGGCAUUCUGCAUCCAAGAGUUCCGUAUCCGAGGACACAGAGGCCUUACUGGAUACCGCAGCAUUUUACGUAGGGGACUUGAGAAUCUUCAGAUAGGAGAAUCCCUUGGAGGGCCUGGGAAAUAAUCCACUUCAGAUACAGAGGAAAGACUGUAUAUCGAUACGAAAGAAUCAGAUAAAAGAGCUGUGUUCUAGGUACCCUCUAAGCCAGCCAGGGGGAACCAUGGAGAGAUGAGAUGGACUGGGAAAAAGGCAAGACAACUGUCCAGCCCUCCAAUUGAAUUACAUCCUCAAAACUCAGACUCUCGAGCCAGAGCCCUAAUCAUUGGGGGUCAACAGACAAGGUCACUGCUGUCUUCCUAUGUGCAGCCCAGGACCCUUCCUCAGGUUGCUGUGGGGUCGAUGGAGGGCAUCGUAGUAACCAAGCCCUUUCAGAUUGUGACUCGCUGGUCCUGGGCCCACCCUGUCCCACCUCUCAACGACCCGUGUGGGGAGAAGUUGUAGAAUCAAGUUGGGUCUCACAGGAUGACCUGCCAAACAGGACGUGACCAGCAAUGGCCCCAGCCUUUGACCAGGGUUCCGUCUUCUUAUAGAAUAUUCUUCCCACUCUUGUUAUCACAAGUGAGGCCUGAUCCGUACUGGCUGUCCAUCCUCCCAAAGGUUAGUUAAUGUAUCAUGUCACCUUGGCUCAUCGACGCCAAAGGUGGCUGCAUCUAGGAAUUAUGUGACCUUUGCUCAAAUUCUUCUUUAUUCAUGAUAUAGCAGCAUGAGGUUAAUCUGCUGCUGCUGCUAAGUUGCCUCAGUUGUGUCCGACUGUGUGCGACCCCGUAGACAGCAGCCCACCAGGCUCCCCCGUCCCUGGGAUUNNNNNNNNNNNNNNNNNNNNNNNNNNNNNNNNNNNNNNNNNNNNNNNNNNNNNNNNNNNNNNNGAAAGUGAAGUCGCUCAGUCGUGUCCAACCCUCUGCAACCCCAUGGACCACAGCCUACCAGGCUCCUCCAUCCAUGCGGUUUUCCAGGCGAGAGUACUGGAGUAGGAUGCCAUCGCCUUCUCUGAGAUAAUAGCUAAAAUGAAUAAUAAAAUCAGUAUAUCAAAAGAGCUAAUUUAUCCCCCCAAAAUAGAGAAGUUUAUCUCUGUUU
Molecule: long non-coding RNA, 1597 nt
Filed under: Capra hircus (goat)
Lineage: Eukaryota; Metazoa; Chordata; Mammalia; Artiodactyla; Bovidae
Description: lncRNA (ENSCHIG00010023545.1)
Source: RNAcentral